CUCCAAUUAAGUAAUUAAUGAUGUUAUUUAUACUUUGAUUUCUUGUGCUUUUCCAUAUUAAUUUCUCAUAGCAUCUUAUAUAAUUUUAAAGUAGUCUUUCUGUUGUUUUCUCUAUUUCUGGUUUCCACAAUAUUCCUCUAAUUAGCUAGUCAAAUAGAAUUAGUGCUUUCUUAUUUUAUCAUCCUUCUGAAUUGAUUUCUAUUAACACCUGUGCAUUAUUUGAGAAUAGUCUUCCUUUACCGUGAUUCCUUUUUUAGCACACCAAAUAGAUUGAUUGUCAUAUGAGCGUUAGAAACUUAGGGAUAAUUAAUUUUGUUUUUUUUUCUAAAAUAUUUUGUGUUCUUUUCUAGUUUUAAGUUUUCCAUAUGUAUUGUAACACAAAACAUUUUUUUAGUUGUUAUUUAAUCAUUGACUAUAUAUGUAUUCUAUGCGUUAUUGUUAUCGGCUUGAAUGACUCCCAUACGUUGUGUGGUGUAAGGAGGUACAAGUACAAGCGUCGCAAAAGAUUUUAUUUGUUUCAACUUGUUCCUGCAA
This 534-nucleotide long non-coding RNA is filed under the name Sorghum bicolor (sorghum). Its description in RNAcentral is "long non-coding RNA (SBIC_LNC003739)". Lineage: Eukaryota; Viridiplantae; Streptophyta; Magnoliopsida; Poales; Poaceae. The record is from RNAcentral.